CAAUGAACCAAGGAAUGGCUGAGGAGAUAAGACAAAAGAAUUGGAGGUGGUGAAUAUAUUCAAUCCAUUUUGAUUGAGAAAGACUAAAAGAGAAGUGCAUAUGAGAAUGAGAGCAUAAUGCACACUUCCAAUGCCUUGACAAUGUAUAAUAGAAAUGAUCCAACAACAUGAAUUAGGAAGAGAAGAAAGAUGAGAGGUGAAUGUUUGCACAGAGAGUGACGGAA
RNAcentral lists this long non-coding RNA (224 nucleotides) under Homo sapiens (human). Its description in RNAcentral is "HSALNT0224978". Lineage: Eukaryota; Metazoa; Chordata; Mammalia; Primates; Hominidae. The record is from RNAcentral.